UCUGCCUCCCUGAGAUCUGGGACUAAAGGUGUGCAGCUAGGUUUUCUUUUCUAAGUGAUGAGGAUUCUGUCAUUUUUGCAAAUGAACUUAAAACAACACCUUUUGGGGAAAAUUUCAUUAAAUAUCAAAACACAAAAUGUAACAGAAACUUUAGAUCAAACAUCUAAAAAUAAAAGUUUGGACUCAGAAGAAACUUAAAAAAAAACAAAUACAUAUCACUCACAUUAUGGGCUCAAGCUCAGUGGCAGAAUACCUGCCUAGUAUUCAUUCAUGAGGCCCGACUUUAAUUCCAGCACCACACAAAAUCCCAUACAUACAUAAAUACAUACGUACGUUUUAAUUUACCAAGAAAACUCUGAAGUAUUUUUCAGAGGUCAACACUUUGUUCCUGACCCGAAAGCCCCCGCACUACCCCCAGGGUGAGUCUGACAGCAACUUCCAUACAUUUGAGCAGCAUUCAAGCCAACGUCCACAGCUGAAGCCAGGAGUUUUCAGAACAGCAUAAAUGUGAUUGGUGCGGCACCGCUGUAAGAAUGUGAGGGGUGGAUAACAGUCACAGUAAGUUCUUACAGGGGACAUCAACCCUGACAAACAGGAUCGUCUCCCGUGAAAUCAAUUUGCUUCAGUUAAGCAAUGGGAAGCGUAUUAAUAUAAGGCCAGGUAUUACUUACAUUCCUGGAGGUUUCACAAUUGACUGAAAUAGUUGUAAGUUCCAAAUAAGUAACUAAAGGUAAAGCUGCCCUUAAGUCAGAAGGGCCACCUUCUCCCACUAAUAAAGAGAUGACAAGCAAUUCUCUCAUACAUUCCUACUUUAUUAAGGUAAACCAACAUGGCAUUUAUAUAGCAAAGCAUUUCAGUUUUCAGAGCUGUUUAGGUUAUUUUUUCCGUAGUAAGUUAAUUUAGGCACAUCGGUUUGUAUUUUAGAAAAAAAAAAAAA
Molecule: long non-coding RNA, 937 nt
Organism: Peromyscus leucopus (white-footed mouse)
Lineage: Eukaryota; Metazoa; Chordata; Mammalia; Rodentia; Cricetidae
Exons: 2
Source: RefSeq, a predicted model, not a curated record